Molecule: ribosomal RNA, 209 nt
Filed under: uncultured bacterium
Lineage: Bacteria
Description: partial 16S ribosomal RNA
Rfam family: Bacterial small subunit ribosomal RNA
Source: RNAcentral
CGCGUAGGCGGUUUGGUAAGUCGGAUGUGAAAGCCCCGGGCUUAACCUGGGAAUUGCAUUCGAUACUGCUUGACUAGAGUAUGGUAGAGGGAAGUGGAAUUCCAGGUGUAGCGGUGAAAUGCGUUAAGAUAUCUGGAGGAACAUCAGUGGCGAAGGCGACUUCCUGGACCAAUACUGACGCUGAGGUGCGAAAGCGUGGGAAGCAAACA